This 177-nucleotide unclassified non-coding RNA is filed under the name uncultured Sebacinaceae. RNAcentral's name for it is "sequence contains ITS1". Lineage: Eukaryota; Fungi; Basidiomycota; Agaricomycetes; Sebacinales; Sebacinaceae. The record is from RNAcentral.
GUGAUUGUGAAUCGUUGCCUUCAGUGCUUGCUGGAGCCAGCCAGCAAGUGCACGUUGGUGACUUUCAUCCAAAUACCCUUGUGAACCUUUGGCCUCUUGCUGGCUUCGGCUGACAGAGGAUUUUACACCCCAACUCGAAUGUAAUGAAAACUACUGUCGUGCGCAAGCACUAAUGUA